UUGGUUGCCUAUAAAUAAGACCCUCAUGCCAUACUAAUAACCUGCAUUAAAUUCCAAAGCAAUUCUAAGAGAGUAUAGUAAGAUCACAUAUAUUUGAAAGGUAGAAAUCAAGUCUCGAUUAUUUAAGAUAAUCGUAAAGUUUGCAACUUCAAAAGGUAAUUUACGACUUGUCAUAUUCUUGUUAGUUAAUCAUUAUUAUAUUCGAAAUCAUGUAAUAUUGUAUGCUAAACAUAAAUUGUAUGUUAAUAAGUAGCAAGUCAUAUGUUCAUGAUAAGCUAGCUUAAGUAAAUGUCCUAAUCGACCUAAUAAAGGAAGUAAAACAUGAUUAUGCAUGUUAGUACGUUUAUGUUGUAAAACUUGAUAAAACUAUCUACCUAAAUUGCUUCAUUAGAACAAACUAAUUAAAUAAGAUAAAGUAUGAUAUUUACGUUAACAUUAAAAUGUAAUAAAGUAUUGAAAUAAAAUUCAUACUCAAGAUUUAUUAAGUAAUAAGAGUAAAGUCAUGUUUAUGACUAAUUGUAAGUUGACCUAAUAUAUUGCGUAAGCCAUACGAAAGACAAGAAAUUAACGUAAAUUUAGAAGACGCUAUCAGGCAAAUUUUUUAACUCAUUCGAUUUAUGUACUUCCGCAAAGUGCAACGAUGUGUUUUAAAUUGUUGAAUUUCAUUUAAUUCUUUCUUUGAAUUAUGAAGUUCAUUAUAUAUUGUUAAAUAAUUUAUUGAGAAGAGUUAUUUGUCAUUUGAUUCAGCUUAACUCGAGUAUUGAGCUAUUCCUUUCGAAAUAAUUAUUGAUGAGAAAUUGAAUUAUUAUAAUUCUUUAUUUGAGUUGAAUUUAUUGUGCCAAACGGCCAAACCAAAUUGUUUUGGGGCAAAAUCAGUAGGUUAGUAAUUGAAAUGAAUAACCCUUAUUCAUGGGGGAAUUUAUGAUGUGUCGGGUAAUCGACUCCUAUAUUGUUGAACACAAAAGUUGUCAGUAUAGGUGUUAUGCAUAACAUAAGAUUUUAUUAGGUUGAUCCCCUUAUAAUAUCUACAAAGAGUUUUAAGUCUUGACGAAUGGAGAGUUCUAAGUCUUGUGACUGACAAACAGUUCUUGAUUUAACAACCCACAAUUUACUUUUAUGAACAAUUAUUGAUAUCUUUUGUUAAGCUAUUCAUCCCUUUGAAUCAAAGAAGUGUGAGUCCUCUUAUGUGUUAUGUGUUAGACUUGUUGAGUUAUCUUAUGCUCAUUCUUGCAAAUAUGUUUCAUUUGCAAUUAAGGAAGUAUUACCAAAAGAGUCUGACAGUAGAACGGUAAAGUUAAAGAAGAAUAGAUAAUUGGUCUUUUUUAUUUGUAAUAAAACUUAAAGUUGUAAUAACUUUAGAGAUUUGAUUAAAAGAGUUGGGAAUUAUUAUAAAAAUGUAUGGUGUACUUUACAAUUAAGCUAAUAAAUGUAGAAGUCAUUUAACUAUGUUAGAUUAAAAGUAUUGACAAUGUCUAGAAAAUUUUGUCAAGGAAAGGGGUCGUCUAAUUGAGCACCGUUUUAACGGAAAACUCCCUCUUUCUUGAGAACUGACUGGUUGCUAAUAAUAAAAGUAUAAGAUAGAUAAAUGGUGAUGAAAUUGAGAAGGGUUUAGUGUUAAAUUGAAGUUAUGGAAUACUCAACAAGAAGUAGGGUUGGAAGAGUUGCAUAUUUAAUAUAUUAAAAUAAGUUGUAAUUUUUAUGACUUUGAGAUGCAACUGAAAAUUGCAAAGUUUACAAUUCUGGAAUAAAGAGUGAUGUUAAGCUUUUAAUUAAAUGAGUUUUUACCAAGUAUAAUAUUAGUGAAUAUUAAAGAAAGAUGUUGCGAUCAAGGGAUAGAGGUAAAAAAUUGAUGUAAUGUCUGAAAUAGACUAAAUAAACAAAUAAAAUUGUUGGUAGAUUUACGUCAACACCAGAUCAGGGGUUGAAGGAGACCAAGAUUUGGGGGUGAGUCGGGGUGUAAACGGAUAUAUACGGAUUCGGAUACAGUAGUAACUGUAUACAUUUAUUUGCGGAUACCUUUAAACCGAAUACAGAUAAUAUCCACUUUUUCCCGAAUACAAAUGCGGACGAAUACGAAUUUUUCGGUUACCAUUUACAACCCUAACUAUAACUAGAAUAAAAAAAGGUAAAAUGCAAGGUUGACCACUGAACUUUAGGGAUUUUUGGGUAUUGAGCCCUUUUCUUUUGGUCAACGCAUUUUGAGCCCUUUUCUAAUAAAAAAUUUGGACUUCGAGCCACUGUUGCUAGAUAUGCGUUGACUUGCUCACGUGGCGCCUACGUGGCAUAUCUGGCGUGGAUAUUUUUAUUUUAAUUUUACAUGUGGCAUAUAUGACGUGGCGAAUAUUGGACUUGAACCCAAAAAAUUUGUUGCUGCUCAAAUUCGAUCUCCAGGCCUCCAACUCGAAAUUUCGAACCAAUGACCACCCGAGCACAACGGGUUAGCUGUUUUAUUUUCGUAAGGAUUAUGAUUUAUAACUGAACAAAGAAUUUUUCCCAAAAUAAAACAAAACCCCUUUUCUUAGAUAUGCUAAGUCUCAGUCUUUAUCUCAUUUCGUUCUUUCGAUCUUCAUCUAUCGCUUUCUCUGAACUGUAAAAUUUCAGUAAGUGUCAUGGUUUUAUCUUGAACAUAAUGAAAUCAGAGAGAAACUGUAAAAUUUCGAAAAUAUAAAUUUUUAGUCAAAUACCAUUAAUUGCAAAGGGAUUGUUAUCCUCCCUUCCUUUGACCAUAUGAAGUCCGCUCUUCCCCUCAUUCACUACAAGGCCCUCAACCGCGUCAAAUUGAAAAGUAAUUCUUAAGAUUUGCUCCAACUUUACAAAGCUUGAGCCGAGUUUAAAGAUCCAUUGUUUCCGCCGGAGUUUAAGAUACACGAUUCUCAAUACAGCAGCGAAGAAGUUGGUUACGUAAUUUCGUCCAUAAGUUUUUUUUUCCCUUUUAUCAUUUCUUAUGAUUCCAUGUAGAAAGAAUUAUAAUAUUCUGCCUCAGGUUUUCUUUUUUUGAUGAAAGAAUUAACUUCUCAUGACGUUUACUUCAUUAUAAUCCAGAGAUUUAUGAUGUUUAUUAUGUAAUUUAUUUGUAUAUAUACUGAUAUUCCUUCAAAUUAGGAAUGUUCAUAAAUUAUACAAUAAAGAUGUAAACACAGGAAGAAAUCUUGAAAAAAUAACAGGGAUGUAUAGGAAAAAGUUGUAUCUAUAUGAUUUUCCUAUAUGAUUUUAUAGAAAAAUAUUGCAUUUUUUCGGAAUUUCUUCAUGUGCUUUUAGUUUUUUGCUUAAUUAUAUGUUCUGUUUCCUCUGGCUUUAGCUAUUUAUGUGUUGAUGGAAAAUUUCAAGCUUUGACUGUCACUCAAGACAUUGGCAUAUCUACGAUCGAAAGAACGAAAUGAGAUAGAGACUGAGACUUAGCAUAUCUAAAAAAAGUGUUUUAAUUUGGAGGAAAUUCUUUGUUCAGUUAUAAAUCAUAAUCCUUGCGAAAAUAAAGCAGCUAACCCGUGGUGCUCGGGUGGUCAUUGGGUCAAAAUUUCGAGUUGGAGGUCUGGAGAUCGAAUCUGAGCAGCAACAAAUUUUUUGGGUUCAAGACCAAUAUUCGUCACGUCAUAUAUGCCACAUGUAAAAUUCAAAUAAAAAUACCCACAUCAGAUAUGCCACGUAGGCGCCACGUUAGCAAGUCAACGCAUAUCUGGCAACAGGGGUUCGAAGUCCAAAUUUUUUAAUAGAAAAGGGCUCAAAAUGCGUUGACCAAAAGAAAAUGGCUUAAUACCCAAAACCCCCUAAAGUUCAGUGGUCAACCUUGCAUUUUACCCGAAUAAAAAAUAAUAAGUUU
RNAcentral lists this long non-coding RNA (3817 nucleotides) under Panax ginseng (ginseng). Its description in RNAcentral is "long non-coding RNA (PGIN_LNC016076)". Lineage: Eukaryota; Viridiplantae; Streptophyta; Magnoliopsida; Apiales; Araliaceae. The record is from RNAcentral.